CCUACGGGGGGCUGCAGUGGGGAAUAUUGCACAAUGGGGGAAACCCUGAUGCAGCGACGCCGCGUGAGUGAAGAAGUAUUUCGGUAUGUAAAGCUCUAUCAGCAGGGGAGAAGAUGACGGUACCUGAGUUAGAAGCCCCGGCUAAAUACGUGCCAGCAGCCGCGGUUAUACGGAGGGGGCAAGCGUUAUCCGGAUUUACUGGGUGUAAAGGGAGCGUAGACGGCAGUGCAAGUCUGGAGUGAAAGGCGAGGGCUCAACCCCGGGACUGCUUUGGAAACUGUGCGGCUAGAGUGCAGGAGAGGUAAGGGGAAUUCCUAGUGUAGCGGUGAAAUGCGUAGAUAUUAGGAGGAACACCAGUGGCGAAGGCGGCUUACUGGACUGUAACUGACGUUGAGGCUCGAAAGCGUGGGGAGCAAACAGGAUUAGAUACCCGGGUAGUC
This 440-nucleotide ribosomal RNA is filed under the name uncultured bacterium. Its description in RNAcentral is "partial 16S ribosomal RNA". It matches the Rfam family "Bacterial small subunit ribosomal RNA", at positions 338 to 795 of the family's 1533-position model. The record is from RNAcentral.